GCUACCAUGCAGUCGAGCGGUAACAGAAAGAUUGUUGCUUUCUUUGCUGACGACGGCGGACGGGGGAGUAAUGCCUGGCAGUAUACCCUGAUGUGGGGGAUAACUAUUGGAAACGAUCCCUAAUACCGCAAAAUCUCUUCGGAGGGGACAGGGGGACCUUCGGGCCUCUCACGACCCGAUUAGCCCUUGUGGGAUUAGCUAGGUGGUGGGGCAAUGGCUCAACAAGGCGACAAUGCCUAGCUAGGCUGAUAGGAUGAUCUGCCACUCUGAAACUGACACACCGCCCACACUCCGACGGGAGGCGGAAUAGGGGAAUAUGGCACAAUGGGGGAAACCCUGAUGCCGCCUUGCCGCGUGAAUUAUUAAGGUCUUCGGGUUGUUUAGUACUUUCAGAUGGGAGGAAGGCUAUUAAGUUAAUAGCUUGACUGUUUGACGUUAACAACAGAAGAAGCACCGGCUAACUCCGUGCCAGCAGCCGCGGAGGUACCGAGGGUGCGAGCGUUAUUCGGAAUUACUGGGCGUAGAGCGCAUGCUGGCGGUCUGUUAGUCAAGAUGUGAAAGCCCGGGGCUCAACCUCGGAACAGCAUUUUGAACUGGCGGACUAGAGUCUUGUGGAGGGGGGGUAGAAUUUCAGGUGUAGCGGUGAAAUGCGUAGAGAUCUGAAGGAAUACCGGUGGCGAAAGCGGCCCCCUGGACAAAGACUGACGCUCAAUGCGAAAGCGUGGGGAGCAAACAGGAUUAGAUACCCUGGUAGUCCACGCCGUAAACGAUGUCUACUUGAAGGUGGUGGCCUUGAGCCGUGACUUUCGCAGCUAACGCGUUAAGUAGACCGCCUGGGGAGUACGGUCGCAAGAUUAAAACUCAAAUGAAUUGACGGGGGCCCGCACAAGCGGUGGAGCAUGUGGUUUAAUUCGAUGCAACGCGAAGAACCUUACCUACUCUUGACAUCCAGAGAAUUCUCUAGAGAUAGAUUAGUGCCUUCGGGAACUCUGAGACAGGUGCUGCAUGGCUGUCGUCAGCUCGUGUUGUGAAAUGUUGGGUUAAGUCCCGCAACGAGCGCAACCCUUAUCCUUGUUUGCCAGCACGUAAUGGUGGGCACUCCAGGGAGACUGCCGGUGAUAAACCGGAGGAAGGUGGGGACGACGUCAAGUCAUCAUGGCCCUUACGAGUAGGGCUACACACGUGCUACAAUGGUGUAUACAGAGGGCUGCCAGCUAGCGAUAGUGAGCGAAUCCCACAAAGUCCGUCGUAGUCCGGAUCGCAGUCUGCAACUCGACUCCAUGAAGUCGGAAUCGCUAGUAAUCGUGAAUCAGAAUGUCACGGUGAAUACGUUCCCGGGCCUUGUACACACCGCCCGUCACACCAUGGGAGUGGGCUGCACCAGAAGUAGCAUAGUCUAACCUUCGGGAGGAGCGUUA
Molecule: ribosomal RNA, 1418 nt
Filed under: Photobacterium sp.
Lineage: Bacteria; Pseudomonadati; Pseudomonadota; Gammaproteobacteria; Vibrionales; Vibrionaceae
Description: bacterial SSU rRNA
Rfam family: Bacterial small subunit ribosomal RNA
Source: RNAcentral